AGAAUUUGAUCUGGUUCAGGAUGAACGCUAGCUACAGGCUUAACACAUGCAAGUCGAGGGGCAGCAUUGGGAUAGCUUGCUAUUCAGAUGGCGACCGGCGCACGGGUGAGUAACGCGUAUCUAACCUUCCUGCCAGUAGGGAACAGCCCGGCGAAAGUCGGAUUAAUGCCCUAUGUUCUUCAAUGCGGACAUCUAAGUUGAAGGAAAGAUUCAUCGCUGGCAGAUGGGGAUGCGUCCGAUUAGCUUGCCGGCGGGGUAACGGCCCACCGGGGCGACGAUCGGUAGGGGUUCUGAGAGGAAGGUCCCCCACACUGGUACUGAGACACGGACCAGACUCCUACGGGAGGCAGCAGUGAGGAAUAUUGGUCAAUGGGCGUAAGCCUGAACCAGCCAAGUAGCGUGCCAGGAUGACGGCCCUACGGGUUGUAAACUGCUUUUAUGCGGGGAUAAAGUGCGGCACGUGUGCCGCUUUGCAGGUACCGCAUGAAUAAGGACCGGCUAAUUCCGUGCCAGCCGCCGC
This 520-nucleotide ribosomal RNA is filed under the name uncultured bacterium. Its description in RNAcentral is "bacterial SSU rRNA". It matches the Rfam family "Bacterial small subunit ribosomal RNA", at positions 8 to 518 of the family's 1533-position model. The record is from RNAcentral.